Molecule: non-coding RNA, 660 nt
Organism: Benincasa hispida (wax gourd)
Lineage: Eukaryota; Viridiplantae; Streptophyta; Magnoliopsida; Cucurbitales; Cucurbitaceae
Source: RefSeq, a predicted model, not a curated record
GGGGAGACCUCUAGUGAAAGAGACUAAAUGGUCCACAUAUACAAUUCCCUUGGAGUCUGCCCCUAUUCCCGAACAUGUUGGUCCUAUCUUUCCUACCAAUCAAGUCCCAUGGAUAACAUACUAUAGGAAAAAUCUCAGGAAGGAAACAGCGUCACCUGUUGCAUCUCCGGCUCCAGUCCAUGAGUCAAACCCGAUAUCAGGUACAUGUAUUCCUGAAAUUAAUGAGAUUGAUACUUGUACUAACGAGUGCAGAGAGGAAAAGGGAGGAAAAGGUGCUAAUAGCAUCACUAUAGCAGAUGGGAAGACGACAGUGAACGACGAUUCAGACACAGCUCUAGAAAACGUGAGUGAUACUAAAGAUAAUGGUGAAAAAGGUGUGAUUUCUGAAGAUGAGAAACAGGAAGAGGAGACUAGUGAUCACAAUGGAAAUUCUGACAGUUUGAAGGAAUAUGAUGCUUCUCUUGAUCUUCCAAUAGCCCUGAGGAAAGGUAUUCGGUCAUGUACAAGUGAGUGUCGUCAGUCAGUUUAUGCAAGCUCCUUGUGAAGAACACAUGAUAGCAGUUGAACGCAUCCUUCGAUAUCUGAAAGGUACACCAGAAAAUCAACAUCAGGGUAUUGCACAUUUGUUUGGGGUAAUCUUGUGACCUGGAGGAGCAAGAA